Long non-coding RNA from Dreissena polymorpha, 6345 nucleotides. RefSeq lists it as uncharacterized. Lineage: Eukaryota; Metazoa; Mollusca; Bivalvia; Myida; Dreissenidae. The transcript has 3 exons. The record is from RefSeq and is a predicted model, not a curated record.
CUUUAAGGUGUUUACAGCUUGUUAUUUUUAGAUAUCAUAAAACCUUCUAACUUUUAACUUUAAUAAUAUUUUAUUGCAUUUUUAUGCCCUUGCCAUGAAAUUGCCCUGGGACCAAGAGGAAAUUCAGGUUAAGUGAGGAUUCCCGUUUAGAGGGGAAAUCAACUAUUUUGCUUUCAGUUGGUCAUUUACAUAGUCUAAUGUGAAAAACUUUUCUUGGGUGAGGAGUUGAUUUCCCAAUGAGACAUGUACAAAAAUAUAUAAAUAUUUUGAGGUACAUUUAACAUUCCAGCUCUGAGCACUAUUCAAAACGGAAGAUUACCUAGAAUUAUGUCAGCAGAGCUAGUGGAGAAAGUAUUCAAUCAAGUGCUGCCUGUAGACAAGUACAUCCAGGACCUAAGAAAAGGUCUUGACAGUCUUGGUCUUGUUCAGCUUGUUCAAGAACUGCCAGCUGUUAUUCUCCUGUUCACACCUCAACAGUCGAAUCCUUUAGCGGUGAAGAUGUUGACACACCUAUUGAACCCACAGUUUAGUGCUGAAGGGUCAAACAGAAGACAGAGAGAGAAUUCCACAUACACGUUGUUCAUCAAAUACAUGCUUGAAGCUGCAAGUGGAAGAUGAGAUGCUGUAAAUCUUGGGAGCAUAUUAAGGUUUGCCACUGGUACAGAGGAGGAACCUGCCUUGGGCUUUGCUCUUCAGCCUUCCAUUCAAUUUAUGGAAAGUGCUAAUUUCCUGCCCACUGCAAAUACCUGCAUAAACAGAAUGAAUUUAUCAUUGCCAGAUGAAAGUAAUCCACUACCACUGCAAGAGGAACUGUUCAAUUUGUUUGAUCUAGCAUUUUGUAACACAUUCUUUGGUUUAGAAUAAAAAAUGACAUUCACAUAUAAUUAUACCCCCAUUACCAUUGGUAAUAGAGGCUAUAUAGGAGUCACUCUGUCGGUCAGUCGGGCUGUCACAAAAUUUCAUCCAAUCUUCACCAAACUUGGUCACAAGUUGUAUCUAGAUGAUGUCUAGGUCAAGUUUGAAUAUGGGUCAUGCCAGGUCAAAAACUAGGUCACGGGUCACUUACUGCGUUUUAAACCGAAAGUUUGUCCGGACCAUAACCAUGUCAUUUAUCAUUAGAUUUCAAAAUCACUUGGUACAUUUGUUCACCAUCAUAGGACGGUGUGUCAUGCAAUAGAAGGACGUCGAUGUCUCCAAGGUCAAGGUUACACUUUGAAUUCAAAGGUCAAGUCGGUCGGUCUGUCUGUCCCAAAAAUUUCAUCUGAUCUUCACCAAACUUGGUCAGAAGUUGUAUCUAGAUGUUGUCAAGGUCAAGUUUGAAUAUGGGUCAUGCCGGGUCAAAAACUAGGUCACUGCGUUUUAAACUGAAAGUUUGUCUGGACCAUAAGUUCAUAACCAUAUCAUUUAUCAUUAGAUUUUAAAAUGACUUGGUACAUUUGUUCACCAUAAGUGGACAGUGUGUCAUGCAAAAGAAUUAAGUCGAUAUCUCCGAUGUCAAGGUCACUCUUGGAGUUCAAAAUUCAAAAAAGGCCAUAAAUGAGCUUGUCAAUGCCAUAACUAUGUCAUUCAUUGUAAGAUUUGAAAAUGACUCCCUACAUUAAUUUUGUUCACAGUCAUUGGACGGCAUGUCAUGCAAAAGAAUUCAAGAGUUCAAAGGUCAAAAUGGCCAUAAAAGACAAUGGCAUAAUCAUUCUUCCAAAUCGCCAUAAAUUAGCUUCUCUUGUUUUGUGAAGACAGCGUGCAAAAUAUUCAAUGUCACUGCAGCAUUUUGGGGUAUAUGUCACGUCUGUGACAAAGCUCUAGUUGUGUAUAUGUAUGUAGUAAAAAAUGUUUUGAAUGUAGUAUGUGAGUUAUAUUGGUGUAAUCAACAUUUACUUUGUGAACCCUCAAGAGGCCAACCUUUUUUUGCAAUCUUGAAACUUGGUCAGCACAUUUGUCCCCAUAACAUUAUUACCUCUCCUGAGCACUAUAGCCCCUAUGUAGAGCUUAUGUGAUAGUCCUUUGUUUUUUGUGCAUAUAGUCCUUUUUUUUGUGCAUCGUCAAUAUAUGCCAUGUGAACGCUAGAGUCUACAUUUUUGUCCGAUCUAAAUGAAACUUGGUCAGAUAAUUAGUCCCAAUGAUAUCUGGACUCGGUUUGAAAUUGGGUCAUUAAGAUGUCAAACACUAGGUCAAAAAGAAAAACCAUGUGAACACUAGAGGUCAAAUUUGAUGCCUAAUCUUCAUGUAAUUUUGUAAUAAUGUUUUUUUUAAUGAUAGGUUCAUUGUUGGUUGAGCAUGAAAAUAAGCCUUUUUUCCAUGAACAUUUACAAAUUUUACUGUAUUGUAGUGUACACAAUGUGUAAAGUAUAUCAAUUCUUUGAAUUUGCUUAUUAGCAUGUUGUUAAUUAUGUCUUAUUUACAUGCAAUACAUUUUGCUUGUUUACAUUGUAAAUGUGAUGUUCAUUUAAGUGUUGUCUGGGCUUGUUUCCUUCUUUUGCAGCAGCAAAGUAUAUUGACCCUUUUACCCAAGAAAAACUAUGCUGUUUACCUUCAAAUUUACUUUUAAAAACCAUAUUAUCUCCUCAGUGGUAACUUUUCCUCAUAUUUAACAUUUUGACCAUUUCCCCUAAUCAAAAUCAUAAAAAUGACGUGUAAUUUGGUUUUGUUCCUAAUGGUAUGUAACCCCAUGUUCUUGUCAUAUUUUUGUGAUAUCUUUUUCAUUGUUUAAAAGUUUUUUUUCACAAAUUGUUACUUAUGAGCUAUUGUGACCUGUCUUUGUUGGUCGUCCUGUAUCUUGUGUCAACCUAUUUACUUAAACGACAUCUCCUCCUUACCAGCUGGUCCAAUAUUAAUUAAACUUGGCAAGAAUGUUCCUUGCAUGAAGCUCUUUUAAAGUUUUUCAAACAAAAGCAUUCCAUGAAUAACUCUGGCUCUUGUUGCCAUGGCAAGCGAAAGGAAAAUUUAAAAAAAAUCUCAUCUGUUUUACCCCCACUACCAUUGGUGUGGGGGGGGGGCUAUAUAGGAAUCACUUUGUCUGUCUGUCCCAAAACUUUGUCCGGACCAUAACUUUGUCAUUAAUCGUAAUAUUUUAAAAUGACUUGGUUAAUUUGUGCACCAUUAUGGGACGGUGCAUCAUGCAAAAGAAGUAUGUCAAUAUCUCCAAGUUCACGGACACACUUUGAGUUGGAAGGUCAAUAUGCCCAUAGACGAGUUUUUCUGGGCCAUAACUAUGUCAUUUGUUGUGAGAUUUUUAAAUCAUCUGGCAGGUUUGUUCACCAUCAUUACACGGUGUGUGAUGCGAAAAAAUUCUGUCCAUAUCACCAAGGUCAAGGUCACAUUUUCAGUUCAAAGGUCAUAUAUGGCCAUAAACUGACCUUGUCUGGGCCAUAACUAUGUCAUUCCUUGUGAGAUUUGUGAAUGACUCAGUGCAUUUGUUCACCAUCAUUGAACAGUAUGUCAGGUGAAAGACCAACACCGAUAUCUCCAAGGUCAAGGUCACACUUGCAUGAUAAUAAAUUAUUCUUUAAAAUAAAAUAAAAUUAGUUUCUCUUACUUUGUGAAAACAACGGGUUAAAUAUUCAGUGUCAAUGUGGCAUGUAGGGGAAUUAGUUAGUUCUUCUUGUCUGAGUUAUUGUCCUUUAAAGAUUCCUAUGUUAUUACAUGUUGUUAAGCGCAAGUUCUCUGAGCCUUACACAUGUUCCAUUUUUCAGCCACUGUUGUAGGUGUAUUGCCAAAAUUAGAGACAAAGCACAUUCAGGGAGCAUAACCUUUGUGGUCUGUGACAGCGACUUGUACUUGUAAUUGCUUAGCAUGAAUGGCAAUCUUUUGAGACAAGACCAUACGGUGCAGGUAAAGACGUAAUUAAUGAGCUAAAGGUAUAGUUCUAGCAAUAACAUGUUGCCCGUGUCCGUUUGAAUGACUUCAUGUGAUAUUUCUUUUGUACAACUUUGUGAAAGUAUGCACACGAGCUGCGUUCAUGUAAUUGAGAAUCUUAUUAAAUGUUUAGUUAUUUGAGGUUAGUCUGUGUUACUUCAUUUAGAAGCAAAAUGAAAAUGCCCAAGGAAAUUAUAGACAGCCAGCAUGAGAUAUGUAAUUAUCCCCCGCCAGAGGCGGAGGGAUAUUGUUUUGGCGUCUGUCCGUCCGUCCGGAACACUUGUGUCCGGAGCAAUAUCUUGGAAGUGCUUUGGCGGAUUUCAUUAAAACUUGGUAUGAGUAUAUAUAUGGAUAAAACGAUGAUGCACGCCAAAUGGCAUUGUACACCAUCUGUUAAUAACGGAGUUAUAGCCCUUUGUAUAUUGAAAAAAUGCUUUUUACUAUAGGCACUUUUGUGUCCGGAGCCAUAUCUUGGAAGUGCUUUGGCGGAUUUCAUUGAAACUUGGUAUGAGUAUAUAUAUGGAUAAGACGAUGAUGCACGCCAAAUGGCAUUGCACAACAUCUGUUAAUAACGGAGUUAUAGCCCUUUGUAUCUUGAAAAAAUGCUUUUUACUAUAGGCACUUUUGUGUCCGGAGCCAUCUCUUGGAAGUGCUUUGGCGGAUUUCAUUGAAACUUGGUAUGAGUAUAUAUAUGGAUAAGACGAUGAUGCACGCCAAAUGGCAUUGUACAACAUCUGUUAAUAAUGGAGUAAUGGCCCUUUGUAUAGUAGUACGUCAUCCGUCCGAUUUGCACCCAUCCUUGAACAAAAUAUAUGUUGCGGGGGAUAUCAAUUCUACGAAUUUGCUUGUUCUUCUUGAAUCUUGCUCGAUUCCUGUAUGUACAGUGGGAAUAGUUUGUGCAGGUAUGUUUGAUUAUGCUGUUUUCUUCAUGUUCAUACUGUGUGUUUGUAUGUGAACACAGUACAUGCUAUGUAAGUAGUUCUAUGUGUUAUUGUUAUGUUCUUGUAACUAGAUAUGAAAACAAAAUGAUAAGCUGCAUGAAACUUUUAUUUACAAAUUCAAAAUAAUCUCAAUUGACCAACUGUAAAUACAUAAUAGAGUGAUUGAAAUAAUGUAUCAUAUUUCUUUAUUUUUUAUUGCAUUAGUGUAGGUUUUUUAUACGCCCGUAUAAAAUACGGGACGUAUUAUGUGAAACCCCUUGGCGGGCGGCGGGCGGGCGGAAGGCAUCACUUUGUCCGGACUCUAAUUCAAAUUGUAUUCAUCCGAUCUUCACCAAACUUGGUCAGCAGUUGCAUCUAGUUGAUAUCUAGGCCAAGUUCGAAUAUGGGUCAUGCCGGGUCAAAAACUAGGUCAUAGGGUCAAUAAGUGCAUUUUCAAAGGGGCCACUUUGUCCGGACUCUAUUUCAAAUUGUAUUCAUCCGAUCUUCACCAAACUUGGUCAGCAGUUGCAUCUAGUUGAUAUCUAGGCCAAGUUCGAAUAUGGGUCAUGCCGGGUCAAAAACUAGGUCAUAGGGUCAAUAAGUGCAUUUUCAAAGGGGCCACUUUGUCCGGACUCUAUUUCAAAUUGUAUUCAUCCGAUCUUCACCAAACUUGGUCAGCAGUUGCAUCUAGUUGAUAUAUAGGCCAAGUUCGAAUAUGGGUCAUGCCGGGUCAAAAACUAGGUCAUAGGGUCAAUUAGUGCAUUUUCAACGGCGCCACUUUGUCCGGACUCUAAUUCAAAUUGUAUUCAUCCGAUCUUCACCAAAUUUGGUCAGAAGUUGUGUCUAGAUGAUAUGUAGGUCAAGUUCAAAUAUGGGUCAUGCCGUGUCAAAAACUAGGUCACGAGGUUACUUAGUGCAUUUCAAGCAUUUAGCAUGGUGUCCGCUCUCUAAUUGAAGUAGUUUUCAUCUGAUCUUCACCUAAUUUGGUCAGAAGUUGUGUCUAGAUGAUAUGUAGGUCAAGUUCGAACAUGGGUCAUGCCGGGUCAAAAACGAGGUCACAUAGUGCAUUUCAAGCAUUAAGCAUGUUGUCCGCUCUUUAAUUGAAGUAGUUUUCAUCUGAUCUUCACCAAAUUUAGUCAGAUGUUACAUCUAAGUGAUAUCUAGGUCAAGUUCAAAUAUGGGUCAUGCCGGGUCAAUAACUAGGUCUUGAGGACACUUUCAAGCAUUGAGCAUGGUGUCCAAAACCUUCGAACGGGCGUAUCUUGUGACAGUUUGGCACUCUUGUUGCUAAAUUAUUUAUAUACAGCAACUUUUCUUGAGCCAGUAAAUAUCAUUGGGGAUUAUUUCUUAGUAAUUUUAUAUUUAGUUUUAUUUUUUCAAAUAAAUAUAGAGAUAGGAGAUAACUUUGUUAACAAUGGAGCCAAAGAUUUUUAAAUGAAAGUGCUUUAUUACUGUUUUGAUUCCUAUAUUUUAGUUGUUUUCCAUGUAUGUUUUGUUUUAUUUAAGAAAAUUUGUUUUAUUUGUAAUUGAAAGUAAAUAAAAUAACCUGAGCAAAGUAUGCUCAUGAAACGCU